CAGUGGUGAUGACUUUCUUAGGACACCUUUGGAUUUAAUAAUGAAAUGACCGUGUAAUUUCUGAGCAGC
Catharus ustulatus (Swainson's thrush) is the source of this 69-nucleotide small nucleolar RNA. Its record names the gene SNORD58. It matches the Rfam family "Small nucleolar RNA SNORD58". From Rfam's summary of the family: snoRNA U58 is found in introns 1, 3 and 6 of the ribosomal protein RPL17 gene in humans. The record is from Ensembl. Lineage: Eukaryota; Metazoa; Chordata; Aves; Passeriformes; Turdidae.